CCUACGGGGGGCAGCAGUGAGGAAUAUUGGUCAAUGGGCGCGAGCCUGAACCAGCCAUGUAGCGUGAAGGAUGACUGCCCUACGGGUUGUAAACUUCUUUUAUAAAGGAAUAAAGUGAGGCACGUGUGCCUUUUUGUAUGUACUUUAUGAAUAAGGAUCGGCUAACUCCGUGCCAGCAGCCGCGGUAAUACGGAGGAUCCGAGCGUUAUCCGGAUUUAUUGGGUUUAAAGGGAGCGUAGAUGGGUUGUUAAGUCAGUUGUGAAAAUCUGGGGCUCAACCGUGAAAUUGCAAUUGAUACUGGCAGCCUAGAGUACAGUUGAGGUAGGCGGAAUGUGUGGUGUAGCGGUGAAAUGCAUAGAUAUCACGAAGAACUCCGAUUGCGAAGGCAGCCUACGAAACUGCCACUGACAUUGAUGCACGAAAGUGUGGGUAUCAAACAGGAUUAGAUACCCUUGUAGUC
This 460-nucleotide ribosomal RNA is filed under the name uncultured bacterium. RNAcentral's name for it is "partial 16S ribosomal RNA". It matches the Rfam family "Bacterial small subunit ribosomal RNA", at positions 338 to 795 of the family's 1533-position model. The record is from RNAcentral.